UGGUAGUCCACGCUGUAAACGAUGUCGAUUUGAAGGUUGUUCCCUUGAGGAGUGGCUUUCGGAGCUAACGCGUUAAAUCGACCGCCUGGGGAGUACGGCCGCAAGGUUAAAACUCAAAUGAAUUGACGGGGGCCCGCACAAGCGGUGGAGCAUGUGGUUUAAUUCGAUGCAACGCGAAGAACCUUACCUACUCUUGACAUCCAGAGAACUUAGCAGAGAUGCUUUGUGCCUUCGGGAACUCUGAGACAGGUGCUGCAUGGCUGUCGUCAGCUCGUGUUGUGAAAUGUUGGGUUAAGUCCCGCAACGAGCGCAACCCUUAUCCUUUGUUGCCAGCGAUUCGGUCGGGAACUCAAAGGAGACUGCCGGUGAUAAACCGGAGGAAGGUGGGGAUGACGUCAAGUCAUCAUGGCCCUUACGAGUAGGGCUACACACGUGCUACAAUGGCGUAUACAAAGAGAAGCGACCUCGCGAGAGCAAGCGGAACUCAUAAAGUACGUCGUAGUCCGGAUUGGAGUCUGCAACUCGACUCCAUGAAGUCGGAAUCGCUAGUAAUCGUAGAUCAGAAUGCUACGGUGAAUACGUUCCCGGGCCUUGUACACACCGCCCGUCACACCAUGGGAGUGGGUUGCAAAAGAAGUAGGUAGCUUAACCUUCGGGAGGGCGCUUACCACUUUGUGAUUCGUGACUGGGGUGAAGUCGUA
This 701-nucleotide ribosomal RNA is filed under the name uncultured bacterium. RNAcentral's name for it is "bacterial SSU rRNA". It matches the Rfam family "Bacterial small subunit ribosomal RNA", at positions 788 to 1490 of the family's 1533-position model. The record is from RNAcentral.